AAAAUUCCCACGCCCGUCGGUGCUACUGUCUAAAAGUUUACAACCCACCGAUGCUGCCGUCUUUGCAAACCGUCGAUGCUACAGCCUCAACUUAUUUAAAUCGUCGGCGUCUGGAAUUCUCGAAAUCAAUUGUACGGUAUGUGAAAUUUCCAAACAUCUUUUCGAUGAUCAAUAACUAUCAUGAAUAUAAGCUACUAUAUACUUUGAACACACUUUCAGUCAAUAAUAUCAUAUACAAUCUCACUUUCCUUUCCUUGAAACAAAGAUCACUAUUUUGUAGUGUUGAUAUAUAUAUUUUGUAUGCAUUUUUUGCCUUAAUCAAGAACAAGUGCUACGGUUUCUCUCAUUAACUUCUCUUGAAAUGAUUUGCAUUUUGUCUACCAAUUUCUAUAUUGCCUUCUUAUUUCUAGUUUAUUCAAUUGUUGAUAUAUAUUCUGCAUGUAGUUUUUUCAAUGCUCAUAGAAUCUGAAGACAACUGAUUUGAUUGAAAAUAAUGUGUAUAGGGAAGUCAUUAUUUCGUGUUCAAUUGCACUUGCACUCUAUUUUAUGGAGAUCGAAUUCUGACUUUGGGCUUCUUGAAUUGCACUGUAUGCUAGAGUUUGCUCCAUGACAGAAGGAACAGAGGUAUAUGCCAUAGCUGCAGAAUGUCGGGUCAUUCGUUCUCGGAAUGUUCGAGAAAGAGAAGAUACCCGAAAUGUGGCAAGGGGUUCGUGAAGUGGAUAGAGGUGGAAAAAAAUAGUGAAAACAAAGGAUGGUUGUUCCAUUACUAUACUCGUGACUGUAGGCAUUUCAAGUGGUCUGAUGUUUCGUCACAUGACGAUGGGCUAGUGCAUUACGAAGGUGAAUCAAGUGGCUCUUCUUGGGGAUCAUAUAAGUUCAACAAUCCAACUGUGGACCUAUCAAGUGUGUUUCAAAAAUGCAUUAAUGUAGCCGAUGAAAAUGACCAUUUGGAGAUUUCUCUCAACAUAACUCUUCGCAAAGGGAAACGAGAUUUGGAUGACGAAGAGAGAGCAAAAAAAAGGGGUGUUAAUUAGACGGUGUACUGUUGAUGUAAUCAAAUUGUC
RNAcentral lists this long non-coding RNA (1064 nucleotides) under Olea europaea subsp. europaea. Lineage: Eukaryota; Viridiplantae; Streptophyta; Magnoliopsida; Lamiales; Oleaceae. The record is from RNAcentral.